Molecule: transfer RNA, 67 nt
Filed under: Agathobaculum butyriciproducens
Lineage: Bacteria; Bacillati; Bacillota; Clostridia; Eubacteriales; Butyricicoccaceae
Also listed under: 1 other name
Rfam family: tRNA
About the family: Transfer RNA (tRNA) molecules are approximately 80 nucleotides in length. Their secondary structure includes four short double-helical elements and three loops (D, anti-codon, and T loops).
Source: RNAcentral
GGUAUAGCUCAGUUGGUUAGAGCAUCGGAUUGUGGUUCCGAGGGUCGAGGGUUCGAGUCCCUUUACC